This is a long non-coding RNA of Belonocnema kinseyi, 1490 nucleotides long. RefSeq lists it as uncharacterized. The transcript has 3 exons. The record is from RefSeq and is a predicted model, not a curated record. Lineage: Eukaryota; Metazoa; Arthropoda; Insecta; Hymenoptera; Cynipidae.
UUCGAUUACAAACCUGUUACUUUCAAUACGAAGGAAGUUUAAAAAAUUUUAAGUUUCUUCUUUAAUUUGUUUGUGGUUCAUGUGAUUUGUUCUUCGCAAAUGGGCAGUUAACGAACUAAGUAAUCAUUGAGAAUGUUUUUUCUUCUUCUGUUUUUAUAUAAACAUUGUUCCGAACAGAAUCAAAUAUUUCUAUUAUUGUUUAUAAUAAUUUAAAACAGCAAUGCAGAACAGAUCUAUACAAAUAUCUAUCAUCCUUGAGAAUGCCCUGCAAUGAUUCCACAGUUUUGGUUUGACCAAAUAACCUUCAAUUGACGCUUUAGAGAAGUAGAAAAAAGUCGUUUGGGCAGUCUGUAAUAUAAUAAUUUAUUAUCCUUAUUAUUAUCAGUAUGUCGGAGCAGUGCUGCGGAACAAACGUGCUGUUUAAAUAAGCACGACGGGAAUACUAGAUUGAUCUAAAAUUUAUAGCUCCUACUGCACUCCCCUUUCUCACUCUUCCCAUAUGAAUUUCUUGAUCCUCGGUAGUAUAGCAAGGCUAGAACCGAGUAAUUUAUGCUUUACCCCAAAAGGGGGCUUAAUCGUAUAAUAAUAAUAAUAAUAAUUUCAAACUGAAGCGAGCACUACCUUAGUUCAAUUAUUAAUUAUGAGCAGAAUGAAAGUCAGAUAAUAUUACAAAAAUAAUCAUCAAUGAGAAUUAGAGGAGUUUAAAAUGUUCGUAUUUCUCUCAGGAUUUAAUAUAUCCACUUACAAGCAUUCAGAUAACUCAACAAAAGUGUGACCCGAGCAUCAUGUUAAACGAGAGUAAAUUUACAUGUGAUAUCAGAUAGUACGAGUAAGCAUGGGUUUUAAUUAUUUCCUCGAGAUGAGAUUUCACCGCGGUAGCUAUUGAGCGUUAGUCUGAUGUAAAUUCCGGGAUCCCGGCUAAUCGGCAUAAUUCCACGAAAUCCGUAAUGGACUUUGGAAUCGUAGAACGUUAGUGAGCGUUAGCUGCAACAACUCCGACGGCAAAUUAGAUCUUCCUGUUCACGCGGUGACCAACUCUAAAGAGCUUAAUGCAAUAGAUUUUGCCGACUGUCCACGAAAUCUGAUCGAAGAGAAUUGCUUGGAUCUACAUUUCGUCCUGUGAUAGAUAUACUCAGUGCCACGUGAAUAAGAUUCAAGACAGAUAGUUAGAUAGUUUCCCCAAAUUGAAAUCGCCUAAGAUACUACUGCAAACACUCUAGCUUCAAAUCAAAUACAAAACGAAUAUUGAUACAAAUUCCCUUGACACGCUCUAUUAUUAAGUCCAAUACUACGGUACUUCUGAAGAUGGGUUUUAUUUACACUUGGAGUUGGACGGCGAUAUUUAAGAAAAUGUGUUUUCAUCUCUACUGAUCUGCAUCUUCCAAUAUAUAAUUUUUUCGGAAAAAAGAUUGGUCAUAGGUAAUUUGGACCUACUCUAUUAAUUGGAGCAAAAAAAAUUAAUAAUUUUAAUUGUAGAUAUACUUUAUAUA